This 96-nucleotide ribosomal RNA is filed under the name Hedyotis vachellii. RNAcentral describes it as "5.8S ribosomal RNA". It matches the Rfam family "5.8S ribosomal RNA", at positions 9 to 104 of the family's 154-position model. From Rfam's summary of the family: 5.8S ribosomal RNA (5.8S rRNA) is a component of the large subunit of the eukaryotic ribosome. Lineage: Eukaryota; Viridiplantae; Streptophyta; Magnoliopsida; Gentianales; Rubiaceae. The record is from RNAcentral.
GCAACGGAUAUCUAGGCUCUCGCAUCGAUGAAGAACGUAGCGRAAUGCGAUACUUGGUGUGAAUUGCAGAAUCCCGUGAACCAUCGAGUUUUUGAA